This 384-nucleotide ribosomal RNA is filed under the name uncultured bacterium. RNAcentral describes it as "bacterial SSU rRNA". It matches the Rfam family "Bacterial small subunit ribosomal RNA", at positions 1082 to 1467 of the family's 1533-position model. The record is from RNAcentral.
AAGUCCCGCAACGAGCGCAACCCUUGUCACUAGUUGCCAUCAUUUAGUUGGGCACUCUAGUGAGACUGCCGGUGACAAACCGGAGGAAGGUGGGGAUGACGUCAAGUCAUCAUGGCCCUUACGGCCAGGGCUACACACGUGCUACAAUGGUCGGUACAAAGGGUUGCCAAGCCGCGAGGUGGAGCUAAUCCCAUAAAACCGAUCGUAGUCCGGAUCGCAGUCUGCAACUCGACUGCGUGAAGUCGGAAUCGCUAGUAAUCGUGAAUCAGAACGUCACGGUGAAUACGUUCCCGGGCCUUGUACACACCGCCCGUCACACCAUGGGAGUGGGUUGCUCCAGAAGUAGCUAGUCUAACCGCAAGGGGGACGGUUACCACGGAGUGA